Molecule: ribosomal RNA, 178 nt
Filed under: uncultured bacterium
Lineage: Bacteria
Description: partial 16S ribosomal RNA
Rfam family: Bacterial small subunit ribosomal RNA
Source: RNAcentral
UGGGGAAUAUUGCACAAUGGGCGAAAGCCUGAUGCAGCCAUGCCGCGUGUGUGAAGAAGGCCUUCGGGUUGUAAAGCACUUUCAGCGAGGAGGAAAGGUCAGUAGYUAAUAMYUGCUGGCUGUGACGUUACUCGCAGAAGAAGCACCGGCUAAUUUAGUGCCAGCAGCCGCGGUAAUA